This is a long non-coding RNA of Coffea eugenioides, 603 nucleotides long. RefSeq lists it as uncharacterized. The record is from RefSeq and is a predicted model, not a curated record. The transcript is spliced from 3 exons. Lineage: Eukaryota; Viridiplantae; Streptophyta; Magnoliopsida; Gentianales; Rubiaceae.
AUUGUAAUCAAGCUUCUAAAAUUGGAAGGUGACAUGAAACACAUUUCAGGCUGAUAAUUUUACAAGAUGCUGGCUAGUCCUAGGCAGAUGCUUUUCUGUAUGGUUAAGGACUGGUUAAAGCGAUUUCAAUCAUUAUGACUGUCUUACUACAAAUAGUUGGCAAAGGUUUCUCCUCAUCGCUGAUCCGGAACUUGAUUACUGCUGAGAAGAUAGAAGGUAGUUUCGGGUGAGAAGUCAUGAUGGGAGUCGGUCACCUCUGUCAAGACAUUCAGUUGAGUUCCAAUGGAAGGCAUGGCAGCAAAAGCGACAAGAGCUGAGUCACGAAUGAUAGAGUUUGAUGAAGAAGACAUAUAAUGUGAUCAUACCUCACCUUAAUAGUGCUGGUCAUAGCAUUGAUAUAUAGUAUUGAUGUCAAACCAAGGCCAACAUCAGAGAAGAAACAUUAAAAAAACCUUGGAAAACGAAAGACUCCUCUGUUUUUGACCACUGAGCAAUUUGAUACCAAAAGUCACAGCUAUUACAAGCAAAGGAACCACAAGAAUAUGCAACAUAUGAGGUAAAAUGAUCUUUUGGUUACUUUGGUUUCUGACACAUUGUUCCUGC